AUUGAACGCUGGCGGCAUGCCUUACACAUGCAAGUCGAACGGCAGCACGGGGCAACCUGGUGGCGAGUGGCGAACGGGUGAGUAAUGCAUCGGAACGUGCCAUUGAGUGGGGGAUAACGUAGCGAAAGUUGCGCUAAUACCGCAUAUUCUGUGAGCAGGAAAGCAGGGGACCGCAAGGCCUUGCGCUCUUUGAGCGGCCGAUGUCAGAUUAGCUAGUUGGUGAGGUAACGGCUUACCAAGGCGACGAUCUGUAGCGGGUCUGAGAGGAUGAUCCGCCACACUGGAACUGAGACACGGGUCCAGACUCCUACGGGAGGCAGCAGUGGGGAAUUUUGGACAAUGGGCGCAAGCCUGAUCCAGCCAUGCCGCGUGAGUGAAGAAGGCCU
This 386-nucleotide ribosomal RNA is filed under the name uncultured bacterium. RNAcentral describes it as "bacterial SSU rRNA". It matches the Rfam family "Bacterial small subunit ribosomal RNA", at positions 30 to 417 of the family's 1533-position model. The record is from RNAcentral.